Rattus rattus (black rat) is the source of this 366-nucleotide long non-coding RNA. RefSeq lists it as uncharacterized. The transcript has 2 exons. The record is from RefSeq and is a predicted model, not a curated record. NCBI's taxonomy places the organism in Eukaryota, Metazoa, Chordata, Mammalia, Rodentia, Muridae.
AAUGAAAUAGCCCAGAGCCAGAUGUUUUAGUGAAGAAUUCUACCAUUUAAAGAAAAGUUAACGUCAAUACUGCUCAAAUUAUCUCACAAAAUAGAAACAGAAGGAAGAUAUUCAAUCUUUUCAUGAUUCCACAAUUAUCCUGAUACCUGAACCAUAUAAAAACCCAACAAAUAAAGAGAAUUGUAGACCAAUUUCUCUUAUUAUCAUAGAAGCAAAAAUUCUGAAUAAAAUACUUGCAAACCAAAUCCAAGAACACAUCAGAAAGAUCAAAUAUAAUCAAGUAGGCUUCAACCCAGAGGUAGAGGGAUGGUUCAACACACAGAAAUCAAUAAAUGUAAUCCACCAUAUUUAAAAAAAAAAAACCUG